AUACGUAGGGUGCGAGCGUUGUCCGGAAUUACUGGGCGUAAAGAGCUCGUAGGUGGUUUGUCGCGUCGUCUGUGAAAUUCCGGGGCUUAACUCCGGGCGUGCAGGCGAUACGGGCAUAACUUGAGUACUGUAGGGGAGACUGGAAUUCCUGGUGUAGCGGUGAAAUGCGCAGAUAUCAGGAGGAACACCGGGGGCGAAGGCGGGUCUCUGGGCAGUAAAUGACGCUGGGGAGCGAAAGCAUGGGUAGCGAACAGGAUUUUAUACCCUGGUGGUCCAUGCCGUAAACGGGGGGCGCUAGGUGUAGGGGUCUUCCCGGACUUCUGUGCCGUAGCUAACGCAUUAAGCGCCCCGCCUGGGGAGUACGGCCGCAAGGCUAAAACUCAAAUGAAUUGACGGGG
Molecule: ribosomal RNA, 398 nt
Filed under: uncultured bacterium
Lineage: Bacteria
Description: partial 16S ribosomal RNA
Rfam family: Bacterial small subunit ribosomal RNA
Source: RNAcentral